UUGAAAGGGAAACGAUUGAAGUCAGUCGUGCUGGCGCGAAAUCAACCUUCUCGUCUUGAGAUCACAUGGCGUGGCGAGCCUCAAAACCGUCACGAAGCGUGAACUCUUGGUGAAAUGGAGCACUUUCGUGUCCGCUGGUUAACAUCAAUUUCGAACGUCAUAAAAAGGCUGGAGGGAUGUGGCUCCUUCGGGAGUGUUAUAACCUUUAGCGGAAUGUGGUGUUCGGGAUUGAGGAUUGCAACGAAUACCUUUAGGGCUGUUCCACCUGGCUUCUCUUUGGUAUCCUGGUGACGACAGCUUGCUGACGUCGUUAGGAUUCGCCUUUGAACAGGUUAGAGUGUGAGCAAAUUCGUUAAGGAUGUUGACGUA
RNAcentral lists this ribosomal RNA (369 nucleotides) under uncultured Glomeromycotina. Its description in RNAcentral is "LSU rRNA". Lineage: Eukaryota; Fungi; Glomeromycota. The record is from RNAcentral.